CGCGUAGGCGGCCUGGUAAGUCAGAUGUGAAAGCCCGGGGCUUAACCCCGGAAGUGCAUUUGAUACUGUCAGGCUUGAGUAUGGGAGAGGGAAGUGGAAUUCCUGGUGUAGAGGUGAAAUUCGUAGAUAUCAGGAGGAACACCGGUGGCGAAGGCGACUUCCUGGACCAAUACUGACGCUGAGGCGCGAAGGCGUGGGGAGCAAACAGGAUUAGUUACCCUGGUAGUCC
This 229-nucleotide ribosomal RNA is filed under the name uncultured bacterium. RNAcentral's name for it is "partial 16S ribosomal RNA". It matches the Rfam family "Bacterial small subunit ribosomal RNA", at positions 568 to 796 of the family's 1533-position model. The record is from RNAcentral.